UACGUAGGGUGCAAGCGUUGUCCGGAAUUAUUGGGCGUAAAGAGCUCGUAGGCGGUCUGUCGCGUCGGCUGUGAAAACCCGGAGCUCAACUCCGGGCCUGCAGUCGAUACGGGCAGACUGGAGUUUGGCAGGGGAGACUGGAAUUCCUGGUGUAGCGGUGAAAUGCGCAGAUAUCAGGAGGAACACCGGUGGCGAAGGCGGGUCUCUGGGCCGAUACUGACGCUGAGGAGCGAAAGCGUGGGGAGCGAACAGG
This 253-nucleotide ribosomal RNA is filed under the name uncultured bacterium. Its description in RNAcentral is "partial 16S ribosomal RNA". It matches the Rfam family "Bacterial small subunit ribosomal RNA", at positions 524 to 776 of the family's 1533-position model. The record is from RNAcentral.